This 76-nucleotide transfer RNA is filed under the name Oscillospiraceae bacterium. RNAcentral describes it as "tRNA-Asn". It matches the Rfam family "tRNA". Rfam says of the family: Transfer RNA (tRNA) molecules are approximately 80 nucleotides in length. Their secondary structure includes four short double-helical elements and three loops (D, anti-codon, and T loops). The record is from RNAcentral. Lineage: Bacteria; Bacillati; Bacillota; Clostridia; Eubacteriales; Oscillospiraceae.
GCCUCCUUAGCUCAAUAGGUAGAGCACGCGGCUGUUAACCGCGGUGUCGUAGGUUCGAGUCCUACAGGAGGCGCCA